This 718-nucleotide ribosomal RNA is filed under the name Psychrobacter sp. RNAcentral describes it as "bacterial SSU rRNA". It matches the Rfam family "Bacterial small subunit ribosomal RNA", at positions 242 to 952 of the family's 1533-position model. The record is from RNAcentral. Lineage: Bacteria; Pseudomonadati; Pseudomonadota; Gammaproteobacteria; Moraxellales; Moraxellaceae.
UAGCUAGAUGGUGGGGUAAAGGCCUACCAUGGCGACGAUCUGUAGCUGGUCUGAGAGGAUGAUCAGCCACACCGGGACUGAGACACGGCCCGGACUCCUACGGGAGGCAGCAGUGGGGAAUAUUGGACAAUGGGGGAAACCCUGAUCCAGCCAUGCCGCGUGUGUGAAGAAGGCCUUUUGGUUGUAAAGCACUUUAAGCAGUGAAGAAGACUCUUCGGUUAAUACCCGGAGACGAUGACAUUAGCUGCAGAAUAAGCACCGGCUAACUCUGUGCCAGCAGCCGCGGUAAUACAGAGGGUGCAAGCGUUAAUCGGAAUUACUGGGCGUAAAGGGAGCGUAGGUGGCUCUAUAAGUCAGAUGUGAAAUCCCCGGGCUUAACCUGGGAACUGCAUCUGAAACUGUAGAGCUAGAGUAUGUGAGAGGGAGGUAGAAUUUCAGGUGUAGCGGUGAAAUGCGUAGAGAUCUGAAGGAAUACCGAUGGCGAAGGCAGCCUCCUGGCAUAAUACUGACACUGAGGCUCGAAAGCGUGGGUAGCAAACAGGAUUAGAUACCCUGGUAGUCCACGCCGUAAACGAUGUCUACUAGUCGUUGGGUCCCUUGAGGACUUAGUGACGCAGCUAACGCAAUAAGUAGACCGCCUGGGGAGUACGGCCGCAAGGUUAAAACUCAAAUGAAUUGACGGGGGCCCGCACAAGCGGUGGAGCAUGUGGUUUAAUUC